AUAUUGGACAAUGGGGGCAACCCUUAUCCAGCCAUGCCGCGUGAGAGAUGAAGGCCUUAGGGUUGUAAAGCUCUUUCAGUGGGGAAGAUAAUGAAGGUUCCCACUCAAGAAGCCCCGGCUAACUUCGUGCCAGCAGCCGCGGUAAUACGAAGGGGGCUAGCGUUGUUCGGAUUUACUGGGCGUAAGUCGCACGUAGGCGGAUUGGUCAGUUAGGGGUGAAAUCCCGGGGCUCAACUCCGGAACUGCCUUUCAUACUGCCAGUCUAGAGUCCGAGAGAGGUGAGUGGAACUCCUAGUGUAGAGGUGGAAUUCGUAGAUAUUAGGAAGAACACCAGUGGCGAAGGCGGCUCACUGGUUCGGUACUGACGCUGAGGUGCGAAAGCGUGGGGAGCAAACA
This 396-nucleotide ribosomal RNA is filed under the name uncultured bacterium. RNAcentral describes it as "partial 16S ribosomal RNA". It matches the Rfam family "Bacterial small subunit ribosomal RNA", at positions 361 to 774 of the family's 1533-position model. The record is from RNAcentral.